CGGGGUGAGUAAUGUCUGGGAAACUGCCUGAUGGAGGGGGAUAACUGCUGGAAACGGUAGCUAAUACCGCAUAACGUCGCAAGACCAAAGAGGGGGACCUUCGGGCCUCUUGCCAUCGGAUGUGCCCAGAUGGGAUUAGCUAGUAGGUGGGGUAACGGCUCACCUAGGCGACGAUCCCUAGCUGGUCUGAGAGGAUGGCCAGCCACACUGGACUGAGACACGGUCCAG
RNAcentral lists this ribosomal RNA (228 nucleotides) under uncultured bacterium. RNAcentral describes it as "partial 16S ribosomal RNA". It matches the Rfam family "Bacterial small subunit ribosomal RNA", at positions 104 to 334 of the family's 1533-position model. The record is from RNAcentral.